GGAGCUUGCUCCACCGGAAAAAGAGGAGUGGCGAACGGGUGAGUAACACGUGGGUAACCUGCCCAUCAGAAGGGGAUAACACUUGGAAACAGGUGCUAAUACCGUAUAACAAUCGAAACCGCAUGGUUUUGAUUUGAAAGGCGCUUUCGGGUGUCGCUGAUGGAUGGACCCGCGGUGCAUUAGCUAGUUGGUGAGGUAACGGCUCACCAAGGCCACGAUGCAUAGCCGACCUGAGAGGGUGAUCGGCCACAUUGGGACUGAGACACGGCCCAAACUCCUACGGGAGGCAGCAGUAGGGAAUCUUCGGCAAUGGACGAAAGUCUGACCGAGCAACGCCGCGUGAGUGAAGAAGGUUUUCGGAUCGUAAAACUCUGUUGUUAGAGAAGAACAAGGAUGAGAGUAACUGUUCAUCCCUUGACGGUAUCUAACCAGAAAGCCACGGCUAACUACGUGCCAGCAGCCGCGGUAAUACGUAGGUGGCAAGCGUUGUCCGGAUUUAUUGGGCGUAAAGCGAGCGCAGGCGGUUUCUUAAGUCUGAUGUGAAA
RNAcentral lists this ribosomal RNA (545 nucleotides) under Enterococcus durans. RNAcentral describes it as "bacterial SSU rRNA". It matches the Rfam family "Bacterial small subunit ribosomal RNA", at positions 75 to 599 of the family's 1533-position model. Lineage: Bacteria; Bacillati; Bacillota; Bacilli; Lactobacillales; Enterococcaceae. The record is from RNAcentral.